RNAcentral lists this ribosomal RNA (586 nucleotides) under Bacillus thuringiensis. RNAcentral's name for it is "bacterial SSU rRNA". It matches the Rfam family "Bacterial small subunit ribosomal RNA", at positions 173 to 747 of the family's 1533-position model. The record is from RNAcentral. Lineage: Bacteria; Bacillati; Bacillota; Bacilli; Caryophanales; Bacillaceae.
CAUUUUGAACCGCAUGGUUCGAAAUUGAAAGGCGGCUUCGGCUGUCACUUAUGGAUGGACCCGCGUCGCAUUAGCUAGUUGGUGAGGUAACGGCUCACCAAGGCAACGAUGCGUAGCCGACCUGAGAGGGUGAUCGGCCACACUGGGACUGAGACACGGCCCAGACUCCUACGGGAGGCAGCAGUAGGGAAUCUUCCGCAAUGGACGAAAGUCUGACGGAGCAACGCCGCGUGAGUGAUGAAGGCUUUCGGGUCGUAAAACUCUGUUGUUAGGGAAGAACAAGUGCUAGUUGAAUAAGCUGGCACCUUGACGGUACCUAACCAGAAAGCCACGGCUAACUACGUGCCAGCAGCCGCGGUAAUACGUAGGUGGCAAGCGUUAUCCGGAAUUAUUGGGCGUAAAGCGCGCGCAGGUGGUUUCUUAAGUCUGAUGUGAAAGCCCACGGCUCAACCGUGGAGGGUCAUUGGAAACUGGGAGACUUGAGUGCAGAAGAGGAAAGUGGAAAUUCCAUGUGUAGCGGUGAAAUGCGUAGAGAUAUGGAGGAACACCAGUGGCGAAGGCGACUUUCUGGUCUGUAACUGACACU